UGGAGGUUCAGGACUCAGGGCCCUUCU
This 27-nucleotide non-coding RNA is filed under the name Homo sapiens (human). The record is from RNAcentral. Lineage: Eukaryota; Metazoa; Chordata; Mammalia; Primates; Hominidae.